This 442-nucleotide ribosomal RNA is filed under the name uncultured bacterium. RNAcentral describes it as "partial 16S ribosomal RNA". It matches the Rfam family "Bacterial small subunit ribosomal RNA", at positions 338 to 795 of the family's 1533-position model. The record is from RNAcentral.
CCUACGGGAGGCAGCAGUAGGGAAUCUUUCACAAUGGGCGAAAGCCUGAUGGAGCAACGCCGCGUGCAGGAUGAAGGCCUUCGGGUUGUAAACUGCUUUUAUAAGCGAGAAAUAUGAUGGUAACUUAUGAAUAAGGAUCGGCUAACUACGUGCCAGCAGCCGCGGUCAUACGUAGGAUCCGAGCAUUAUCCGGAGUGACUGGGUGUAAAGAGUUGCGUAGGUGGCAUAAUAAGUAGCUAGUGAAAUCUGGUGGCUCAACCAUUCAGACUAUUAGCUAAACUGUUAAGCUCGAGACCGUUAGGGGUAACUGGAAUUUCUAGUGUAGGAGUGAAAUCCGUAGAUAUUAGAAGGAACACCAAUAGCGUGGGCAGGUUGCUGGGACGGUUCUGACACUAAGGCACGAAAGCGUAGGGAGCAAACGGGAUUAGAUACCCGUGUAGUC